Molecule: transfer RNA, 68 nt
Filed under: Rhodosoma turcicum
Lineage: Eukaryota; Metazoa; Chordata; Ascidiacea; Phlebobranchia; Corellidae
Description: transfer RNA-Val
Source: RNAcentral
CUAAAGAUAGCAUUAAUAAAUGUAACAUGUUUACAUCAUGUAGAACUAAUAGUUAUUUAGUCUUUAGU